RNAcentral lists this ribosomal RNA (253 nucleotides) under uncultured bacterium. RNAcentral describes it as "partial 16S ribosomal RNA". It matches the Rfam family "Bacterial small subunit ribosomal RNA", at positions 524 to 776 of the family's 1533-position model. The record is from RNAcentral.
UACGUAGGGUGCAAGCGUUGUCCGGAAUUAUUGGGCGUAAAGAGCUCGUAGGCGGUUUGUCGCGUCUGCUGUGAAAACCCGAGGCUCAACCUCGGGCCUGCAGUGGGUACGGGCAAACUAGAGUGCGGUAGGGGAGAAUGGAAUUCCUGGUGUAGCGGUGGAAUGCGCAGAUAUCAGGAGGAACACCGGUGGCGAAGGCGCUGCUCUGGGCCGGUACUGACGCUGAGGAGCGAAAGCGUGGGUAGCAAACAGG